Molecule: ribosomal RNA, 158 nt
Filed under: Melampsora epitea
Lineage: Eukaryota; Fungi; Basidiomycota; Pucciniomycetes; Pucciniales; Melampsoraceae
Description: partial 28S ribosomal RNA
Rfam family: Eukaryotic large subunit ribosomal RNA
Source: RNAcentral
UAGACUUCAAAUCAGGUGGGACUACCCGCUGAACUUAAGCAUAUCAAUAAGCGGAGGAAAAGAAAAUAACUAUGAUUCCCUUAGUAACGGCGAGUGAACAGGGGAAAAGCCCAUUUGUAAUCUGGCAUCUUUUACAGAUGUCCGAGUUGUAAUUUGUA